GAUGAACGCUAGGGGCAGGCCUAACACAUGCAAGUCGAGGGGUAACAGAGAAGCUUGCUUCUGCUGACGACCGGCGCACGGGUGCGUAACGCGUAUGCAACCUACCUCAUACAGGAGAAUAGCCCUUGGAAACGAGGAUUAAUACUCCAUGGUAUCAUUCUUUCGCAUGUUAGAAUGAUUAAAGAAUUUCGGUAUGAGAUGGGCAUGCGUCCCAUUAGCUUGUUGGUGAGGUAACGGCUCACCAAGGCAACGAUGGGUAGGGGGCCUGAGAGGGUGGUCCCCCACACUGGUACUGAGACACGGACCAGACUCCUACGGGAGGCAGCAGUGAGGAAUAUUGGUCAAUGGAGGAAACUCUGAACCAGCCAUGCCGCGUGAAGGAUGACGGCCCUAUGGGUUGUAAACUUCUUUUAUAUGGGAAGAAACUUAUCUACGUGUAGAUAACUGACGGUACCAUACGAAUAAGGAUCGGCUAACUCCGUG
RNAcentral lists this ribosomal RNA (483 nucleotides) under uncultured bacterium. RNAcentral's name for it is "bacterial SSU rRNA". It matches the Rfam family "Bacterial small subunit ribosomal RNA", at positions 28 to 507 of the family's 1533-position model. The record is from RNAcentral.